This 465-nucleotide ribosomal RNA is filed under the name uncultured bacterium. RNAcentral describes it as "bacterial SSU rRNA". It matches the Rfam family "Bacterial small subunit ribosomal RNA", at positions 338 to 795 of the family's 1533-position model. The record is from RNAcentral.
CCUACGGGUGGCAGCAGUAGGGAAUCUUCCGCAAUGGACGAAAGUCUGACGGAGCAACGCCGCGUGAGCGAAGAAGGCCUUCGGGUCGUAAAGCUCUGUUGUUAGGGAAGAACAAGCAACGCAGUAACUGGCGUUACCGUGACGGUACCUAACGAGAAAGCCACGGCUAACUACGUGCCAGCAGCCGCGGUAAUACGUAGGUGGCAAGCGUUGUCCGGAAUUAUUGGGCGUAAAGCGAGCGCAGGCGGUCUUUUAAGUCUGAUGUGAAAGCCCUCGGCUCAACCGAGGAAGGUCAUUGGAAACUGGAGGACUUGAGUGCAGAAGAGGAGAGAGGAAUUCCAUGUGUAGCGGUGAAAUGCGUAGACAUAUGGAGGAACACCAGUGGCGAAGGCGACUCUCUGGUCUGUAACUGACGCUGAGGCUCGAAAGCGUGGGGAGCAAACAGGAUUAGAUACCCUAGUAGUC